UAAUUUGUAUUAAAAAAAAAAAAAAAUGAACUGUCAGCUCUUUUACUAAAGUUAUAACAAGCUGAAAGCUAGGACAUUCCCCCCCUUACUAGGCUUUCCUGGAAACCCUCUUGCAAGGUUCAGUGAAUGUGUUGACAUCCGUAAAACAAAUCAGAUGUUCACCUCUUACCGGAUGCUGUAGGUCAUGGAUUUUGUCCGGCCCAGAAGGGAGGCCAUCGUCUGACUCCACGGCUCCAUUGAUUUCCCCAAAUCCUUCACCCUUGCCUAAACAAAGGAAGAGUACCGGACCCAAGGUCGCCAUCACCAAUGUUUGUAAAACCAUAUUCCGUCACUUUGUAGUAGUUACGUUUCAGUUCGUAAAUGAAAAUGUCCAGGGUCGAGAGGCUCCCCCAUUAAAAACUUUAUACCCCACGCCUAAAAUGCUGCCCCCACGGCAGUAUUUGUGCCUCUAUGACAACCCUACAGGACAUUCCAUCUAAACAUGGAAGAUCAGUUUUGUGAAAUAAGGUCUGUUCGUUUCAUAUUAGAGACCCCCCCCCAGUGUAGUUCUUCAGGUGGAUGCAAGUUGUGUCGCAGUCUCAUUUUCAUUGCCGCCAAUUUUUUUGUUUCUUUUUUUUUUUUUUUUUUUAUUGAAUAUAUAAAACGUAUCCUGUUCCUUAUGGCCAAAGGCAUUAUGCACAUACAACUCCAGAAAAUAACUUCUGAGAUAGUAAAAGUCUUUCAAUAUUCUUUAAAAAUUAUAUUAAAAAAGAAAAAAAAAAUCUUAUGUGAGCUGGCUCCGAAAAAUAACUUAAUUAGCAGGUAGAUGAAAUAAUAAUAAAAAAAAUAUAUAUUUUUAAAGAAUGCAGCAUAAUGUCACUUAACAAAAAAAAAAAUAAAAAAAAAUGUGCCAUGACAUACAAUGCUUAUAUUAGGAGUCACGUUUCUUCCAACCAAAGUGGCUACAAGAGAAGAAAAAUGGUGCUUAUGAUAGAAAUUUAAAUAGUUUGUGUACAGGUUUCCCAUUUUAUCUUAAUCGAUGUUACAGAAUAUUCUUUAUAUCUAUAUAUAUAUAUAUAUAUCUAUCUAUAUAUAGUUUAUAUGUAUUUAAAAAAAAAAAAAGCGUCAUUUUUGUCUUUUUGAAAAGAGCCCACUGCAAUCCCUCCCAAUGUUUUCUAGUUUCGAAAAGAGAAAAAAUAAAUGAAAAUAUUGACAGUAUUAAUCUUAUUUUUCUAUUUUCGUAUAUUGUUAUAUAUCACUAAUAUACUUUAACUCAUAACUGUGAGUGAAGAGCUUGCCGACUUGCGUAGCGGAACAGUGAAAAACAAAAAAAUUGUGUUUCUUUGGAUUUAAACGUUGAAGCACAUUAUUUUUUCUUUCUUUUUUUAUUUUAAUUAUACCAAAAAUAUGUAUAAAACACUAAACUAUAUACAAUUCAUAACUUGGGGUAUUUAAAGCCCAUACUUUUUUUUUUUUUUUUCUGACCCCUUUGUACAGUGAUGUAUUUUAUAGCCCGAAUGUUACCGUUUUUUUUUGCGUUGUGAUAAAUCUGACAUUACUGUAUUUAUAUUGGGUUUUUCUUUUUUUUUUUUUUUUUUUUUUUUUUUUACCCAUCAAGUCUACAUACAUCAUCUAUGUUUACAGAGACUUGUGUGCUGUGCAUAGCCCUCAAUACUGACCUGCUCUGUUGCUUCUUUUUGUUUCUCUCUUGCCUGUUUCUGUAAAGACUUCUGUACCCGUUAAAGGUUUAUGCUAAAAAAUAUUUCAUUGAAUUUAUCAUAUGGUUCUCGUUCAGUCUCCCAAAACGAAAUACCCUGCUCUCCUUAUGUCUGCAGACCUUUGCACUUUUAAGUAGGCGCUCCACCCAAAAGGCAAGUUUUCAGAUAUGGGAAGUGUUCAGCAGAAUCCACCCCACCCAGAGGCUUCCCAAUGCUGAGGUCUUCUCUGCCACAGCCCCUCAUCCUGCUGACUCCUACCUACCCUGUUAAUUGCGUUUCUCCUGCAAAAAUCGAAUUUGGGUAAAAUCGGAGAUCAAACAUUUGGGGACCACCUUCUGAAGAUAGUGGGGGGUGGGGGUCAUCAAUUUGAGUCCGCUCCUGCCACCUUCCUGUUUCCGAAAAGAAACCGGGAAAAAAAGUGGUUUAUGUGUAACUUUAUGUACAGUUUUUUUUUUCCUUCAUCUUCGCCACCUCCUAGACGGCCAUUGUGAAGAUGUACCUGUGAAAGGCGGCCAUUAUGGAAGUGUCACACUUUCACGGCAAGCCUUUAUGGAGGUGUCAUUUUUUUGACAGCUGGCUUAUAUGUUGGUGGUACUCUCCACGAUAGUAGACCGUUGUGGAGGUGUCACUCUCCACCACAGCUGACCAUUAUGGAGGUGUCACUCUCCACCACAGCUGACCAUUAUGGAGGUGUCGCUCUCCACCACAGCUGACCAUUAUGGAGGUGGCAAUCUCCUUGACAGCUGGCCGUUAUGGAGAUGUCACUCUGGGACAGCAGCCUGGUAUGGCGGAUGGGGUCAUCAAUUUGAGUCCGCUCCUGAUGCCUUCCUGUGGCACUCUGGGACAGCAGCCUGGUAUGGAGGUGUGGCUUUCUGGGACAGCAGGCUGGUAUGGAGGUGUGGCUUUCUGGGACAGCAGGCUGGUAUGGAGGUGUGGCUUUCUGGGACAGCAGGCUGGUAUGGAGGUGUGGCUUUCUGGGACAGCAGGCUGGUAUGGAGGUGUGGCUCUGGGACAGCAGGCUGGUAUGGAGGUGUGGCUCUGGGACAGCAGGCUGGUAUGAGGGUGUGGCUCUCUGGGACAGCAGGCUGGUAUGGAGGUGUGGCACUCUGGGACAGCAGGCUGGUAUGGAGGUGUGGCACUCUGGGACAGCAGGCUGGUAUGGAGGUGUGGCACUCUGGGACAGCAGGCUGGUAUGGAGGUGUGGCUCUCUGGGACAGCAGGCUGGUAUGGAGGUGUGGCUCUGUGACAGCAGGCUGUUAUGGAGGUUUCCUUUUGCCAGCUGGUCUCGCCAAUCCUAUAUGAAACGGAAUCAAUCGAGUGGUGGCUCCAUCGUGUGGCUUUACCACAGUGGUUUGAGUGCCCAAGCGAUAUUUUAGAAGCCUUAGUGUUCUCAAACUUGCCCCCAUUCGGGCUAAACUGAAAUCUCCAUUUUGGGUGGAGUCAGCCCUUCAAUGGUCCCCGAUCCACACUCAGUGAAGGAGUUGUGAACUAGACCCUCUGUUUUGGUAAACACCGCCUAUGGAAUCAGGAUGAUCCAAUAACAUCCCUAGGUCCUGGAGGAACAAUAGGUUGCCGAAUGGUUUAGUCCAUAAAAUAUCUUCCUCCACUCAGUGGGUGACAGGGACUCUUUAACCCCUCCCACCCCCAACCGUUUUAUCAGAAUAUUAUUGGUCUUAUUAAUGGGUAAACAUAUAUAUUUGUAUCAAAACAGAUGUCGCAAAGUGCCAACUUAACGAUUCCACAUACUAUAUAUGAACAUAUAUAUUUUUUUUACUUGUAUUUUGAAGUCUUCUAAAAAAAAAAAAAUUCAAUGUGAUGAACGGAAACUGAAAACAGAAACUUUUUUUUUUUUUGUUUCUAAAUGUUGACGCUUUGACCAUGUAGGUGGUAUGUUCCUGGCUUCAAGCUGUACUGAACACUGGCCAUUAGAUGCUCCUCGGGGGUGGGGAAGACUCGCCUCUCCACUUUCUAUGAGCGAGUUGCAGUGCUGUGCUUGGCGAGGGCUCCUCGAAGUCCGAUUCACUGCCAAGUGCGAGGGUUUACCGCUCGUGAGCGCGACCCUACUAUCGCUUUUUUUUUUCUUUCCUUUUUCCAGCCAUUACUUGUAAACUGGAACUGUACAUUUUGUAUUUUACUUCUAAAGCUUCUGUAAGUAAAAUAACUAUUUGCUUUAUUAAAGAUACAUUUAAUAGUGUGACAUUA
Rana temporaria (common frog) is the source of this 3899-nucleotide long non-coding RNA. RefSeq lists it as uncharacterized. Lineage: Eukaryota; Metazoa; Chordata; Amphibia; Anura; Ranidae. The record is from RefSeq and is a predicted model, not a curated record. The transcript is spliced from 2 exons.